Long non-coding RNA from Ictalurus punctatus (channel catfish), 673 nucleotides. The record is from Ensembl. NCBI's taxonomy places the organism in Eukaryota, Metazoa, Chordata, Actinopteri, Siluriformes, Ictaluridae.
CUUAGCUGGAGGCUAGAACUUGUAAUGUAAAAUUAGUAGUCUUUAAAGCCUAAACUAAAAACCUUGAUUGUUUCUUCCCACCACAGCCACUUUUCUCCAUCUGGGAUUAUUCCAGCUCUGGACCACGGGUUGAGGCUGGUAACCUGCAACACCUUGUCCCGGCCCCCCAUGUGUACCACCAGGAGCAGCACUUUACUCCCAGCACUCAGGGCCAGGUUUAUACCAACCUGCCUGACCAGCCGGAUUACGCAAGCUGGGAUUCGUCCAACUCUGGACCGUGGGUUGAGGCUGGUGAUGUCCAACACGUUGUCCCUGCACCCCACGUUUACCACCUGGAACAGCAGUUCACCCCCAGCACUCAAGGCCAGGUGUAUUACAUCCUGCCUGCUCAGGUGUAUUACCCCAGCUGGGAGACUAUUUCCUGCUCUGGACCGUUGGUUGAGGCUGGUGACCUGCCACAUCCUAUCCCAUCCUCCUACGUGUACCACCAGGAGCAGAUAUUCACUCCCAGCACUCAGGGCCAGGUUCAGCAGAUAGAGCUUCCAGGGAUGGCUGCAGUGUCAGAGGACCAAUAUUGCACCUUCAUGCCUGGUAAGGACUAUUUAAAUGACAACAUCCAACUCCAGUCAGUGUCCCUGUAAUAAUAAUAAUAAUAAUAAUAAUAAUAAUAAUA